This 1036-nucleotide long non-coding RNA is filed under the name Ananas comosus (pineapple). RNAcentral describes it as "long non-coding RNA (ACOM_LNC028975)". Lineage: Eukaryota; Viridiplantae; Streptophyta; Magnoliopsida; Poales; Bromeliaceae. The record is from RNAcentral.
UGUAAAAAGUUGUAGUAACACAAUGUAGACACUCAAUGUCACGCCCCGGGGUCUUUUUGAAGUCUUAAAGUCGAUGUGGAAGUGCUUAAUUUUUUUUUUUUUUGAAAGCCUUGACCCCGGGAUGUCAGAUCCGCCACAAAUAAAAAAAACCCACUGUUCAUACGGAUAGAGUCUCCCUUGUAUUUGCACGGCGUCGUACAUGUAUAAGAUACAACUACAUUAUAUACAUAUCCAAAUACAAUCACCAUAUCACAUUUAGUCAUUUACAAGAAUACAAUGUGCUAUUCAUAAAUCCACAUCUAUUAGUUUAAAACGUUUUCCAUCCGAAAACUCAUUUUGAAAAACUAAAAAUCAUGAAAACUGAAAAAUCCUUUUUAAAACUAUUUCCCACACGGAAAACUUUUCUUUAAAAAGCUACCACGAGGGUUAGAAAAUCUUUUUCACAAUUUUACGUGAAAACCGUAAAUACUUUAUUGAUUUCACAAAACUACAUGUAUCCAAAUAAAAUAAAACAAACUGAACCAUAAAUAUCUAAGUCAAUUCUUCAGAAAUAGUAAGGAUAGCAACUAAACCAAUUCAACCAAGUCGGAAGCUCUAUCGACCGCUACUAAUGUGUCUCAUGCCUCGUCUCAAUCCUCACCGCCCAAAUUACUUGAAAAAUCGUGGGGGGUGAGAACAUAUACACAUGUCUCCCCUCCCAGUGGGUACCACAAGCCAACGAAGGUGAUGAGUACUCACCGGUACACAGGAAGAGAUAAAUAAAGUCAUGAGCAGACAUCACAAAUACAGUAGCAAUAAUACCGGAAGUAAAGGAAACGGUAAUAGAAUAUAUAACUACCGCUACUGUAAAGUAUAACAGAAUGUAUACAUGAAUAUCAUAAUUAUAGUGGCAAUGAUGCUGUAAGGACUGAGAUUUUGAUAGUGCAAUUAGACUCUCUGUUGAUGAUGUUUAUGUGUGUAAUUUAAUUACAUAAGCAUUUGUCAAGUUUCAGGAGAAAAUGAGUUAGAAUAGAGAAGUUACGCGAUUAUUAGUUUU